RNAcentral lists this ribosomal RNA (682 nucleotides) under Flagellimonas marinaquae. Its description in RNAcentral is "bacterial SSU rRNA". It matches the Rfam family "Bacterial small subunit ribosomal RNA", at positions 737 to 1424 of the family's 1533-position model. The record is from RNAcentral. Lineage: Bacteria; Pseudomonadati; Bacteroidota; Flavobacteriia; Flavobacteriales; Flavobacteriaceae.
GUACUGACGCUGAUGGACGAAAGCGUGGGUAGCGAACGGGAUUAGAUACCCCGGUAGUCCACGCCGUAAACGAUGGAUACUAGCUGUGGGGACUUCGGUCUCCGUGGCCAAGCGAAAGUGAUAAGUAUCCCACCUGGGGAGUACGUUCGCAAGAAUGAAACUCAAAGGAAUUGACGGGGGCCCGCACAAGCGGUGGAGCAUGUGGUUUAAUUCGAUGAUACGCGAGGAACCUUACCAGGGCUUAAAUGCAGGCUGCAUGGGGUAGAGAUACCCCUUUCUUCGGACCGCCUGCAAGGUGCUGCAUGGUUGUCGUCAGCUCGUGCCGUGAGGUGUCAGGUUAAGUCCUAUAACGAGCGCAACCCCUACCGUUAGUUGCCAGCAUGUCAAGAUGGGGACUCUAACGGGACUGCCGGUGCAAACCGUGAGGAAGGUGGGGACGACGUCAAAUCAUCACGGCCCUUACGUCCUGGGCUACACACGUGCUACAAUGGCCGGUACAGAGGGAAGCCACCCCGCAAGGGGGCGCGGAUCUACAAAACCGGUCACAGUUCGGAUCGGGGUCUGCAACUCGACCCCGUGAAGCUGGAAUCGCUAGUAAUCGGAUAUCAGCCAUGAUCCGGUGAAUACGUUCCCGGGCCUUGUACACACCGCCCGUCAAGCCAUGGAAGCCGGGAGUGCCUGA